Molecule: transfer RNA, 62 nt
Filed under: Periweissella cryptocerci
Lineage: Bacteria; Bacillati; Bacillota; Bacilli; Lactobacillales; Lactobacillaceae
Rfam family: tRNA
About the family: Transfer RNA (tRNA) molecules are approximately 80 nucleotides in length. Their secondary structure includes four short double-helical elements and three loops (D, anti-codon, and T loops).
Source: Rfam by way of RNAcentral
GGAAGAUUAGCUCAGUUGGGAGAGCGUCUGCCUUACAAGCAGACAGGUUCGAGUAUCUUCAU